This 301-nucleotide unclassified non-coding RNA is filed under the name Glomeraceae sp. RNAcentral's name for it is "partial contains 5.8S ribosomal RNA and internal transcribed spacer 2". The stretch from base 1 to 71 matches the Rfam family "5.8S ribosomal RNA", at positions 84 to 154 of the family's 154-position model. The record is from RNAcentral. Lineage: Eukaryota; Fungi; Glomeromycota; Glomeromycetes; Glomerales; Glomeraceae.
GUGAAUCAUCAAAUUUUUGAACGCAAAUUGCGCUUCCUAGCAUCCCGGGAAGUAUGCAUGUUUGAGGGUCAGUAUUAACAAAAAAAUCGGUUUGGUUGAAAAUUGAGACGUUUCAGGAGUUUGGGCUAUCUUAACUUUUUUGGUUAAGGGGCUUAAAAUGGACCUUUUUUGCGCAUGUUUAGACGGACAUAAAUUUUUUUUUAUUCGUCUAGUCUUAAUGCCAAAAUCUUAUUAGAUGCGAUCACAUCGUGUGGUUUCGGGUCCAUAAAAUUUUCAUGAUUUGACCUCAAAUCAGGUAGGA